GAUGAACGCUGGCGGCGUGCCUAAUACAUGCAAGUCGAGCGAACAGAUGAGGAUCUUGCUCCUCUGACGUUAGCGGCGGACGGGUGAGUAACACGUGUAUAACCUACCUAUAAUACUGGUAUAACUUCGGGAAACCGGAGCUAAUACCGUUUUAUAUAUUUAACCUCAUUUUUCAUUAUUUUAAUUCGUUUUUUCUGUCUCUUUUAGUUGGUUCCUCGCCGCAUUAGCUAGUUGGUAAGGUAACGGCUUACCAAGGCAACGAUGCGUAUCCGACCUGAGAGGGUGAUCGGACACACUGGAAGUGAGACACGGACCAGACUCCUACGGGAGGCAGCAGUAGGGAAUAUUCCGCAAUGGGCGAAAGCCUGACGGAGCAACGCCGCGUGAGUGAUGAAGGUCUUCGGAUCGUAAAACUCUGUUAUUAGGGAAGAAAAAAUGUGUAAGUAAAUAUGCACGUAUUGACGGUAACUAAUCAGAAAGCCACGGCUAACUACGUG
RNAcentral lists this ribosomal RNA (497 nucleotides) under uncultured bacterium. RNAcentral's name for it is "partial 16S ribosomal RNA". It matches the Rfam family "Bacterial small subunit ribosomal RNA", at positions 28 to 507 of the family's 1533-position model. The record is from RNAcentral.